This 492-nucleotide ribosomal RNA is filed under the name uncultured bacterium. RNAcentral's name for it is "partial 16S ribosomal RNA". It matches the Rfam family "Bacterial small subunit ribosomal RNA", at positions 29 to 507 of the family's 1533-position model. The record is from RNAcentral.
AUUGAACGCUGGCGGCAUGCUUUACACAUGCAAGUCGAACGGUAACAGGCCUUCGGGUGCUGACGAGUGGCGAACGGGUGAGUAAUGCAUCGGAACGUACCCAGAGGUGGGGGAUAACGCAGCGAAAGCUGUGCUAAUACCGCGUGUGAUCUGAGGAUGAAAGCGGGGGACCGAGCAGCAAUGUUUGGCCUCGCGCCUUUGGAGCGGCCGAUGUCGGAUUAGCUAGUUGGUGGGGUAAAGGCCUACCAAGGCGACGAUCCGUAGCUGGUCUGAGAGGACGACCAGCCACACUGGGACUGAGACACGGCCCAGACUCCUACGGGAGGCAGCAGUGGGGAAUUUUGGACAAUGGGCGCAAGCCUGAUCCAGCAAUGCCGCGUGCGGGAAGAAGGCCUUCGGGUUGUAAACCGCUUUUGGCAGGAACGAAACGGUGUCCGCUAAUACCGGGCGCUAAUGACGGUACCUGCAGAAUAAGCACCGGCUAACUACGUG